Molecule: long non-coding RNA, 565 nt
Organism: Micropterus salmoides (largemouth bass)
Lineage: Eukaryota; Metazoa; Chordata; Actinopteri; Centrarchiformes; Centrarchidae
Exons: 2
Source: RefSeq, a predicted model, not a curated record
AAUGCAAUUCGAGCAGAGAUGAGGAGUGGGCUACAGAGGUCUAGUAAACUUUCAGUUUUGAAGUUUCCACCACUGUGUAGAGUUAAUCAGCAUAGCUCACCUGCAACAGAUUGAUGAACGGCCAGUGCAUAAAAUGCUGUUUGAGUUGAAGCGAUUCUGGGAUCAGACCGGUUAUGAUGAACUGUACUACAAAAUGCACACACAGCGUUACCACAGCUGCUCACAGCCUGCUCUUAUCAUCUUUCCAAUCACCUUCCCUCUUCCCUCCUCCUUCCUUCCAUCCACCCACAGCAUGCGCCUCUCCCUCUUACGGCCUGAACCCUCUGCCAACUGUUGCAGCAGGUUAAGACCUGUGGGAAGUCCCUAACCACACACACCUUCAUCUAUUCGCCCAAGAGUACACACAACCAGGCACAUGUGAAAUGAGUCAGGAGCAGUGAGUCCUUCAAGUCAUCUCAUCCCAGUGCAAAGGUGAAAGUAUGUAUCUCCCACAUCUUGAUGUGCACAUUGAUUGCAUUUUUAUCAACAUGUAACAAUCCUUAACAAUAAAAGUACAUAAACUACA